Molecule: ribosomal RNA, 5492 nt
Filed under: Triticum aestivum (bread wheat)
Lineage: Eukaryota; Viridiplantae; Streptophyta; Magnoliopsida; Poales; Poaceae
Description: partial small subunit ribosomal RNA
Source: RNAcentral
GGCAGUAGAGGACGUGCGCAGUAAUGCUACGCAUUAGUCUGCCGCGGAAUUAGCCUGCCGCGUCGUCCGCCGACUACGCGCGGAAUUCCAACAAAAGUUCAGAAAAGGGAAAAGGUAGCGGAGGAGGAGGAGUGGUUUGCACGAAGGGAAACCCCAAAAGAGUAACCACGCACGCAAAACCUAAGGGAAGGGGAAGGGUGGGGCGAGGGGGAAAAGCUAACACGACGCGCUCUCUUUAGCGUAAAAAACCCCCACCUAAAGCGAGUAGCCAAAGAACGGGACCAUGCCAGGGCAGCGGACUACACUUCUACCGCUCGUCACGUAGGCUCUUCACCCGACACCACGUUAUGCCUGUGGUGCCAGGACGUUGGUUUCAGAUGGCCAAAGUCUAGGACAACGGUUUACCGUGUUCGUGGUCGGAGUUCGACGCGCUAGGACCUCUUCUCUACGGCGAAGGACUAAAGAAUGUAGCAUAAGCCCUUCUCAACCCGCUACGGAGGCGUAUACCACCAGUUUCCGCCCCUUAACUUACCCUACCGCUACAAAUAGAUCUCCUGGACGACCUGUCUUUCUAUCUGUUCUUUCACGUCAAGACACUAAAACAGUGCUUCCCAUGAUUGUAUAAUUCUGAGGUCCUACCACUUCUUAAACAGGCCUGUAUACUCUUAUACACCCUGGAAUGUGGAGGCUGACUUGACGAAGUUCUCGAAGGCCGUCUUAUAUCGUGACUCUCACGAGAACGUCUGGAACAACUGUUGAGUAAUGUCCGAAACACCAGUUUACCAUCGUUUCUUUAUUUCAAUUAGUCCUAUUGACAACUACCUCUUUUCUAACACCAAAAACUAUGACCAUCCCCCUACCUGCCAAGUCUUCUAUUAAGAUAGAGAUUUACCCCAUGUUACCCAAGAAGAUUGGUGUCUCAUAAAGCCUUUGUUCCAUAGCCGCCCUUUCGCGGUAUGAAUCACGGAAAGAAACCGUACAAACCGAUACCACCUUGAUAACGUAGCUACGUAGAACCUUCUUGACGGUAUCAAAGAAGAUUUUGAUUCCUUAGUUCCUUUCACAAAUGGAACGUAGAAAGCUCCCUCCGAGACAACCUCUUCAGAAGUAGAUUUGAGUCGACCUUCUGACGACCUCCUCAAUCUCUAGGUAGACUUCUUCUCAACCGUGACAGCGGUGUAGCUUCAAAAUGUGUCCACCUUUAGGUGCCGAACUUAUCCGUGAACCUCGGUCGAUUUGAAGCUCCUAAAGACUUCCUGUAUAUAAAAGGUAUAUAUGUCAUACUGCUCCUAUUACCUAGACGCUCAUGUUCCUCCGGUCAAGUUAAACUCCACUUACCACAUCUAAAUCGUCUUUAUGUCCUUUCACUUCACUGUGAAUGAUUAGACGUGAGAAGAUUACCAGGACUAAAGCUAGACGUAGAUUUUAAACGAACAUGAAGUUGUUUACGUCGAUCAGCGGUUCGUGUACGAGCCUAGUUCACACAUAUGAAAGGUUAACAGUUCCCUUUUCUUAGAUAGCUAAGAUAAAAUCUUUUCAAUUCGCUUUUACCGAACCCCCACUUUCUUUUGAAACUGUUAAAAAGUGCACACAGUCAGGCGGCUGAACCGGCCAAUGAGGGACUACGUUCUACCCCAAGAGAAGGAAAGUACCUUGGAUUUGUCUUAUUUCCUGUUUUUCGACUUGAGGACUUCGCUACGACGUUCUCCCACUUUACAAAACAACUUUGCCUACGCCCAAAAUUAGGUUGAGAAAGAUUCUGACUAAAUCGUGUUGUGCUACAAAAAUGAUUCCGUGAAGCGACGAAACUACCGUCAACAGUAUUACUGUCGAGUCAACUCCUCCAAUCACAACUACGAGCAUUUCCACUUUCUAGUGAUUUAGCGUGCGUUAACCUCUUCGUCAUAGUGCUGACCUAAUUAUUAUACGUACGUUUCAUACUGCACCUUUACCUGCCUCCCCUGCUGCUCGUAUGACAAUAAUAGUUGGGUUCGUUGUUCCUCGCUGAACCUUAUAGAUUUCUACAACUUCAAUAAUCUCAAGUGUGGAGCCAAUCGUCUUUUCCUUUUUGUACCUCUUCUCCUCUAGUAGACUUUUAGGUUGGUUCUCAUCAACGUGCUUACUUUUUGUUAAAGAUGAGUAGCUUUUCGUUAAAGAUACCUUGUGACCUUAUACAACAACAACUUCCUGAAGCUCCUCUAUAGACACCACUUCGAGCUGAAUAUACGUCCAGAUAACUCACGGGACCACUAGUUCCAACGAAUGAGCUCCAUCCAGUUCUAUCACACGUGGAAUUAUAGUUCCUUAGAAAGAGGAAGGGAUAGUCGCACUAUCUACUAUUGUUCACAGUUUGGUACCUGCUCCUAAGCACCACAGUUUACGAAUCUUUCUUUUCACGUUUCCGAGGUCGCACAUAACUCCAGAAUGCCUUAAGUGUUCCGUUACUAGAACGAUAUCUACCCCUACAUGGCAAACUUUUUCAAUAUCGCCGACCAAUAUUGGUAGGUGCACUUUAAUAUCGACAUUAGGCCGGUGUUUUGCGAUGUUGGACGAGGUGGUCGGAGGAACUGUUCUCUAUAUAACACUUCCUACUACUAGAUCUCUACCGUUACCUCUAAAUAGUAGACGGACCUUCGUUUCUAGUAGGAGCACGUUUCGAAUAAAUAUUUUUCGAGUUCUUUGGGAGUAGCACGUUAUCGUAUUUACCUGACAUAUAGAAAGUCAACUCGCUUCUCUGUUCGUACAAAUGAUUUAGACCACAAAUGUCAAAAUAAAAGAGUCAAUCCACGUCUCUAAGUUGACAGUAAUUCGUACUUAGCUCCUAUUGUCAAGCAGGUUUGAGGUUAUGAUCUGUAACCGUCAAUAGGACGCUACGACUAACCAGACGACUGUUACGACAUCAUCUAUAUUCCGAACCUUACGGUCAAUCUACAGAACGUCGAUCUUCGGUACUAAACAUACCCUUGCCUUAAGGAAAGGAACUACAUGUAUUCCGGCAGUAUUGAUAUGAACCACCACUACUAUAAGAUCGAGUCCAAUUCCUGUAGUUUCACCUAGAGAGUUGUCUAAAUAACUGAGACAUAUAGUCUCUAAAAGACAAGUUUUGGUUGUUUAACCUGUCUCAUUCCGGCUUAAUACUUCGCUACAAUUUCUAAAGAAAUAGACUAUCACUUGAGAGAGUAGGUACAUUUCAAUUCGGUCCAGAAGGCAGUUGUUAAUUAUACCUAUACAGGGAACGAACCCUCUUCUUAAAUUGAGGACCUCUUCAAUAACUACUACGGGAAGAUCUCCACGAGCUAGUAACACCGUUAGUACAACUUCUUCCCUGCCUUGAAUAACAGUUAUGACAACCUGAGAGGAAACAUCUAUUUACGCCUGGACAAGCUUUCCAUUUGUCGCUUCCUAAACAACUGGAUGCACCUUACGAAUUUCAACAAUCGCCUAAACCAAGUCUUCGAACAAACUGCUAAAAAGUAGUGUUCUUUUUCUAAAAGUUAUCUUGUAAAGUUUAACGAUAGUCCUUAAACUUUCGACAAUUCCAAGGCCUUUCAACAGGACGACCCUGGAAGAACCUCUUGUAUUAUAAACUUCAAAGACUGACACUACCUCACUAACUGCUCAGUUAUGUACCUGAGGUUGUAUGUGAAUCGUAGUCCAGCUUAGUUAAUUUUCUACACGUUCCUCGUGUUAUACGUAAACUUGUACCUUCUACACAAGAAGGAGCACGUGUCCAAGGAUUACUUGGUCCUUGUCAGUCAAAACACCGUAUAGUAUGUGUAAAAAGACUGGACCUUUGUUAUUAAGUCUAAGUACAAAUACGAGAACUAAAUCACGCUCAUUUGAGCCUCUUGCUGAAACUUGGAUAUACGUCGAUGGGUUGAAGUAGAGAUAGUUCAGUUCUAGAAAAUAGAGGUUCAGUUGAACGAAGAACAGUUAGACAAUCUAUGUAACUCCUACGAGACUCCUUUCAAAGACUACUCUAACUUAGUUAACUAAGGUUAUAUGCGAGACUUCUUCUUUACUAAUUUAAAGAACUAAGAGUUUUCUUUAGACACCUCUUAGCAUAACGGUCAGACUUUCUACUCUAACCGGUGUCUCAACCGCGUUUUCUCUAUUGAGCAGUAUUUUAACUUCUCUUACAACCAUGACGACGACGACAAGAUACAUUAGAGAGGUUGGCAUUUCGUAUACUUGGUCCCGCUAGAAAGUUCCUACUUCAACAACCAUAACAACGAGAAGAGCCUUGACAACGAUUGUCUCUAGAGUCAUCCUACGAAAGACACAUAGAACCACUUCUGUUGUACGAACGUCACCAAACGUUCUGAGUCCUACGACGAUUAAUGAAACUUUUUAUACUGUGACUUCCUUUACACCUAUAAGCGAAACCAUAAGUAGUCCUUCGUCGAUUUGAUCCUCAGGGUUAUUCGUCCUCUAAAGGAUAGUAUACGGACCUACUUUAUUCCGGUAUAUUACCUCUGCAGAAAACCUUGUAUUCCGUUUUUUUCGAUUUAGACGGAAAAGGUGUAAGCUUCUGCGUGUUCCCUAAAGCACCCGAACGCCAGUUGAACUAGUUAGAAAGACGUCUCUUGAACCUCUAUUAGUGUUCAUCACCUGUACCAGAGGCACUUUGGAAUAAAAUAUCCGAGAAACCUCUCGAAGUUCAAAUACUUUGUGCCUUACUGUACGCCGUUCGAUACGGAGUAAACUCCUUACCCCGAUAUAGAAACCUACCACCCUAAUAUUUCCCACUACCAUACGACGACGAGCCAAUGUCACUGGGCCUCUAGUAUAAAGGACAGUACGGACUACGAGGGCUGUAAGACCUUCUGGGACUCCUACACAAGUGGUUUCAUUUUUUCUACUUGCGUCUCUUCUCACAAGACCUUUGCCACCUCUUGUUCUAUUCUUUUCGGCUUCUCUUAGCCGUCUUUAACCAGUACUUCGCGUUGUUCUUCUUUGCGUUUAAGCUGCUCUACCGCCUCCAUUACUCGGUCGGGUCACCGUCGGUCGAACUAGUCAUAGUGGGUCACAGUGUCAUCUGCUUACCCGAACAUCGUUAGAUUGUUACACCAGAUGUUUCUACCAGUGUACCGUAGUAUAAUUGACGACUUGACAAGAUCAACAAAUACUUAGAACAAUGAGAUCAAAAGAUACCCUAAUCGACUACCUGACUAAUUGUACGAUGAUCGUUACGUUGAUCCGUCACAAACUGAUUUAGAUUACGAAUAGUAAAAUGACGCAAGUCAAGAGAACACACAAAUCUUGGAACAGACAUACGUAUCAUAAAGAUACACAGCGACGACGAGACUUUUAACAACGUGCACGACAAUUUUUCCCGUCGUGUACCGUUACAUCCAACAUUCAACAUCCCUUGUACGGGACCUCAAAGAACUGUGAGGUUGUUUAGUGUACGUAGACCCGUCAGUAUUCCCGAGUAUACGGCCUUUAUGUCUUCCCGAGUCCUCUUACGGCCCACAUUAUUUGUUAAACCG